RNAcentral lists this ribosomal RNA (496 nucleotides) under uncultured bacterium. RNAcentral describes it as "partial 16S ribosomal RNA". It matches the Rfam family "Bacterial small subunit ribosomal RNA", at positions 28 to 506 of the family's 1533-position model. The record is from RNAcentral.
GAUGAACGCUGGCGGCGUGCCUAAUACAUGCAAGUCGAGCGAACAGACGAGGAGCUUGCUCCUCUGACGUUAGCGGCGGACGGGUGAGUAACACGUGGAUAACCUACCUAUAAGACUGGGAUAACUUCGGGAAACCGGAGCUAAUACCGGAUAAUAUAUUGAACCGCAUGGUUCAAUAGUGAAAGACGGUUUUGCUGUCACUUAUAGAUGGAUCCGCGCCGCAUUAGCUAGUUGGUAAGGUAACGGCUUACCAAGGCAACGAUGCGUAGCCGACCUGAGAGGGUGAUCGGCCACACUGGAACUGAGCACCGUCCCAGCCUCCUACGGGAGGCAGAAGUAGGGAAUCUUCCGCAAUGGGCGAAAGCCUGACGGAGCAACGCCGGGUGAGUGAUGAAGGUCUUCGGAUCGUAAAACCCUGUUAUUAGGGAAGAACAAAUGUGUAAGUAACUAUGCACGUCUUGACGGUACCAAACCAGAAAGCCACGGCUACUUACGG